GUCUGUAGUUUGCAUUGCACAACACCAGCUUGGAAAUUAUAAUUACAGUGCCAGUGAAAAUGCUGUCGUUAUAUAAUUGCUUUCCACAUUCGAGUUCGCAAACAAUUCAGCAGGUAAUUGCAGAAACUGGUGUGAGCUAAUGAGAGAGGUUCUUGUCGGUGCUGAGCCCAGCCUGCAGUAAUCACAAGUGGAAUGCUGUCGGUCCAUCGGAGGUGGGACAAUGUGGAAGAGCAAACAACAGACACUUCGGUAAAUGCAGGUGCGUCAUCUGGAGGAUCGGGGAAUUCAAGGGAAAAGGAGAAGUGAAUUUGCUGCAGGAAAAUUGGGUUCCAAGUGCAAGGGGAAACCAAUGCCUGCUGCAUCCACGAGCUCUAGCUUUUUAUGCUGCCAUCGAGGUGUGUCUGUCUGAUGUGCCCAAAUGAAGAGGUACUAGAUGGACACGGCUGUCCACGCUGCAGUUUGGAAUUAUACAAUAUCAGAAAGUUGCUCCCUGAAGUCAAAUAGGAUAUGUGGGUGCCUAACAUUACCAACAAUAGGAUUUCAGCUGCUGCAGAGUUCCGGAUGACAUAAAAGGGCUGCCUGCCAUGUAAUUUCUCUAAGCCUUUUGACAUUUUCCAUAAGGAUGGUGAGAAGUAAGAACUCCUUGCUUCCAGUGCUGCUCUCAUCUUGUAACUGAGGGCCAGGUUCAGCUGGAGUCACUGGCAGCACCCAGUAGUGGACGGUUAUGGACAGUUAUUGGGGCCAUCACUGACACCUGCCCUCAGUCCACCUUUAAAGCAUUAUCCCCGUCCUCUAAACCACACCAGGUAGAUGGGUCAAGUCACUAUUUCAAUUUCCCACAAUACCCCAGGCAUAGAGUUGUUUGGGGCAUUGUGGGAAAUCUAAAUGCUGCUACCUGGAGCUCCUCAGAGCACUCUUUAUCACUGACCACCACCCAGAAAGCCCAACAGGGCCCAGCAAUGGAGGAGGAGGACCACCUAUGGAGGAAAGAGGCCAUAAAAGGACACAUUGUCCAGGGCCCCAUUGAACCUGGAGCUGGCCCUGGGCUCAGCAAUAAGAACAUAGGGACUCUUUGUUCCACCUCCGUUCCUGCACAUUCCUAGAGCAAUGACCCUGGAAAGCUUACAAGUAAGACGUUGGAGACAGCUAUGCACACAGCCAGCAGACAUAUAUGAGGAUUGGCGUCCUGGAAGCAUCCCUAUAUCAAUAUAAAGAUGGUUCAGACGGCCUCCCUAUCAAUGAUAAACCUAAACCUUGGAAUGGUUCCACACACUUUAUUCAUCUAAAGGGAAAACUUUUUUUAAAGAAACCUAGCAUAGCACAGUGUGGAUGUGCUGAGAAUCAGUUCAGCCACAUGACCAGGAACUCUGAUAAGGUAAGUCUAGAUGUUGAUGUAGAAACCAGAAAAUGGUGACAUCACUGCCACUUUCCACAGGAGUGAAACCCUAUUGUUCAGCUGCAGUCAGCGACAGCCAUCCUUCUCCAGUGACUCCGUUGUCAUCAUGUAGCAGAAAUGUAAAGGAAGCAGAGGCAGUCAUGCUAACCUGGUGGCCAUGCUUCCACCUCAGGCCCUGCACUGAGGAGAACCCCUGCCUUGUUUCAUCAAAGGAGAACUGGUGUCGUAAAUGUUUCCUGAGGUUACUGAGAGGGCAACGGUUGUGUCAUCACAACCACUUGAUUCCUGACCUUCUCGUACCUGAACUGAGGCCCAGCUUCUGACGGUUAUUCUGUGGUUUUUGUGGCUUUGCUAAGACAUUGCCAUGACAGUGAACAUGAAGCUGGGCGCAAACAGGAUAUGACGCUGCUACUUUCAUAUGUUCCUCAUCAUGCAGAAUCUUGGUCCAUGGGCCUGGGUUCCUCAUGUGAGGGGACUGGGGAAGCAGUCUGAACUGAAACCACACAUAUGGAGCAAAACAAGUACACUGCACAACACGUUUCCCUGACACCACAAUGUGAACAUUGUGUAUGGUCACCCAAAGGGAGAAAGUCAGCCAGAGGGCACUGGAAAGAAUGUCUCACCUCAGUCUCUUGAGGGGUUGAGGGUGGAGGUUAAGAAAUGUGUUCAUCAACUUCCUCACUCACAUAGAAAACAGAGCUAGGGAUAGGGAUGUUGUCUUGCUUGCAAUUGGCACUGAAUUUUUUAUCUCAAGAAAUACCCUGGAGUGACUCUGGAGGUUCCUCGAGGAAUGGGAAAGCCAAACAUUUUACUGAAAUUGGGUAAUUUCUCUGGAGGGUUUCAUACAUCUGAUAGCCUUUUGCAUUUCUGGUUUAGCUGAGAGAAUAAGAUGGAUCUACAAAAAAAAAGACAUGCUGUAACCUCAGGAAAUCAGCCAUGUAAGCUGCAGACACCAGUGCUGGAUUCUAUUAGCUGUGUGGAAAAUUUACGGGGAGUAACGUGAGUUGAUGCUUCACCACAAGUUGGCAGUGAAACUGCACCCCUAAUACUUGCAAGUAAUCUGGUUGAGUCAUUACAGCAGGGGAAGCCAAAAUGGCACCCUCCAGGUGUGUUGGACUCCAGAUACCAUUAACCCUAGCCAGCAUGGCCAGUGGUCAGGGAUUAUGGGAGUUGUAGUCCAACAACAUCCAGAGAGCACUAACUUGGCUAUCCCUGAGUUAGAGAAACCAAUAUGGUGCCUAUGGGUGACUAUAUGAAAUAUCUUUUCUUCAAAGGGUGCGGCAAACCUCAAACUGCAGAUUGUUCAUGUCCAGGCAUGACUACGUUCCCUGGAUCAACUGUCUGCAUGGAGCUUGCCCUGUUCUGUGUGUUUUGCUGCCAGUUUUCAGACCUACCCUUCACACACUCCCUAAAGACAGUUGCAUGGCUUUGUUCAGCUUUUGCUCACCAAUGGGCGUAUGUGAAGGAUGCCAUGUCUCAUCAAGUGUACAGAUAAAUCAUCUGAAGCCUCUAGUUCUCCCACAGAUAAAUGGAGAUCAGGAAUAAACGUAUGGGAAUAAGAGCCUCAGCAAGGUAGAGGUUGCCAAGUCAGCCUGCCACAUUUCUAAACCCCGCUCAGAAUAACAUGCAGGCAGCAUUUUAGGUUAUGGUGUGCCAGCCACUGUUCAGGUUUGCAAUAUGAGGAAUACAGGAAGCUGCUUAAUACCACAUCUGUCAAAUUCUUCGUCUUGGUAGAGGCUGGUGCUCAUGGGACUGAUUAGGGCAGAAGUUAGAGGAAUGAAAAGUAAGGGCUGCCAGAGCAAAUGGCUGGUGGAGCCAGGGUCAGUGGCAGAUGGAGCCAACGAAUUCUGGUUUUGUCCCCAUCCUGCUCCUUGCUGAGUUUUACAAGGGCAGCACCAAGGAGAGGUGUACACCAUGCAUCACCACAUUUGGAGUGACUUCUUUUUGAUACAGGUAUGGCCCAGUCGUGGAAUUUAGAGUGUUUCCUUAUAGAUCAACUUGUCCAGCUUUGCUGUUGUUUAGACUUACAUAAACUCUAAACUGACACCAGGAAGAUUCAUACCUAUGCUUACUCAUGACUCUGUUGUGACAAGCCAAACCUUUCCCUAAGUAGUUCACCUAACUGUGUCUGACUCACAAGUAGACAUGGGAGAGGAGAAGUUCUCUGCUUAGUCCAUCAGCCCAAGAGGAGAGACAGAAGCUGCUUGUUCUCUACACCACCCUUGUGCUGAGAGGGAAAAGUGAAUUAGCUUGUUUUGCUGCCCAGAUUGACAGAACAAGAAAAACCCUAUAAAGGUUUAACUACCUCAGAAUAUUAGUUACAGAUUUAUAGCUGUCUUUCAUCAUAGAGUUCUCUGGCAAAAGACAAAAAAGAUCUACAAAAAAUCAAGAGAACCCUUAAUGUUGCUAAUGUCCAUUGAAGCAGGGAAGGUCUCUCACAUUCACACAUAACACUUCAAACUGACCUGGCUUCUCCCAGAGAAUUAUGGGAGCUGUAGUUUGUUAAGGCUGCUGAUCAUUUUUGGAGACCCCUCCCAGAGCAUACAAUUCUCAGAUUUGUGCAACAAUCAAGCCCCCUUCCAUGGAACUCUGGGAAUAGGGGAGUAGGGGUCCCAUAACAACUCUUAGCACCCAUAACAAACUACAGCUCCCAUAAUUCUUUGGGGUAAACCAUGGCUGUUUAAAGUGGCAUUGUAAUGCUUUAAAUAUAUGGUGCAAAUGUGGCCUCUUGGAAAUAAUGUGAUUCUACGUUCCUCUUACACAGAAUCUUAUGCUGAAAACUACAAGAAUAUGAGGGGAGGGGAGAAUAUUAGGCAGAACCGCUUGUGAAGAGCAUUAGAAUUCAGACCUACAAUUACUACUAUCAUGUCAAUUUGAAGCUCAAAGAGAACCCCCCCCCUCCACUCCUCCCUCAAGUGGGUCACUGAACGGAGCUCUGAGGGUCAGGCAGGACAAUUGCAGGUGGCCAAUCCCGUGGUCCACCCAUGUGCCUUGUAGCUUAAAGGCUCAUUAGAUGAAACCCAACGAGACCUCCGUGCCAGCAGCACUAAUACACGCUCCCGUUUUAGCCCUGCUGGCUCAGGGCACAGCCUGCCAGUUUAAUUGAAUCUGGAAGGAAAUAAUACACAGAGGAUUGGGGAUAAAAACUAAUGAAACACUAAAGUGAAUUAAAAAUAAAUAAAUCCAAAAGGAUUAAUGUACAAUAGCAAACCAGGGGCUCCAGGAACUAAGCUUCAGGGUUUAGCAUGAGCUUUUGUAAGAAAGAAAGGGGAGGUGAACAGUGUGUGCGAAACCGAGUAGCGAGACAACUGGCAGGAUAAAGCUGACCAGUCACCAUGUGACUGCCUCCAUCACCUGAGCAUUUGUCUUCCCAGGCACACCUUAGCAUCAAAGCCCUUGCCCUUUAAAGAAGCAACACCAUCAAGCUGUCAUAUGUCAACCUACUAGAAUCUAGCAAGGCCAGAUCAAUCAUAUUGGAAGAUUAGGUAGCUGCCCAUGUCAGCGCAGUUUCUGAGAUGUCUGCUUUGCCAUUGGGCCAGACCCACACUUGUUUUCUGGCAUGGCCCCACGGCACACACACACACACCCCUCCACGAAACACCCCAGAACCCUCCAUGUGCAUGGUUGUACUCUGGCCUCCCCUGUUAAGUGUAGGAAAUAGAUGAGCCAUCUUUUCCAUUUAUAUGCUUGUUCAGUAUAACAAACAUUUGGUUAUUCAGGCAGAGAAACUUGCACAAGGGGACUUCUUGGCAGACUGAGCAGAUGAAAAUGAAUUUGUACUUGUGUUACACAUUCUGUAAAUGUUUUUUCACAUUUAGCAGAAUGUUUACAUAAGUGAAUCAAUCAGAAACCUACAAAUGAAACAUCUGGAUUUUCAAAAUCAUACAUUUUCCUUAUCCUGUGAGGGCUGUUUCGCCUCAUGUGGCGUGUGAUACUGUUGGGAGGUUUUUACAAGUUGGACAAAACUGACACAAGCCAUGGUGACUUCAUCUGUCUUUUCUGCAUUUUCCUGUAUAUGCUUUGAAAAAACAAAACUCCUUCUCUACAAAUUCAACAUGGAAACUUAAAAAGAUACAACAAAAUGAUAUAAAAUUAACCAAAGCACCAUAAGAUGAUAACUAAAAACCAAUAAAUGUUAAGCAGCUGCUUGUUAGGCCUGGCC
Molecule: long non-coding RNA, 5558 nt
Organism: Podarcis muralis (Common wall lizard)
Lineage: Eukaryota; Metazoa; Chordata; Lepidosauria; Squamata; Lacertidae
Source: RefSeq, a predicted model, not a curated record